UACUCUAUUCCCAGCUGGACCUUUGCUGGUUUUCACCUCGGUUAUAUUUCAAUUAUGAUUAUCAUCGGGUGAGCAUCGGUGUAGGUCCAAACCUGCUCC
Non-coding RNA from Caenorhabditis remanei, 99 nucleotides. The record is from Rfam. NCBI's taxonomy places the organism in Eukaryota, Metazoa, Nematoda, Chromadorea, Rhabditida, Rhabditidae.